GGGCGGGGGCACGGGGGGAACGCGAAGAACCUUACCAGGUCUUGACAUCCUUCUGACCGCACCUUAAUCGGUGCUUUCCUUCGGGACAGAAGAGACAGGUGGUGCAUGGUUGUCGUCAGCUCGUGUCGUGAGAUGUUGGGUUAAGUCCCGCAACGAGCGCAACCCCUAUCUUCAGUAGCCAGCAGGUAAGGCUGGGCACUCUGGAGAGACUGCCAGGGAUAACCUGGAGGAAGGUGGGGACGACGUCAAAUCAUCAUGCCCCUUAUGAUCUGGGCGACACACGUGCUACAAUGGCGGUCACAGAGUGAGGCGAACCCGCGAGGGGGAGCAAACCACAAAAAGGCCGUCCAAGGUCGGACUGUAGUCUGCAACCCGACUACAGGAAGCGGAAUCG
Molecule: ribosomal RNA, 394 nt
Filed under: uncultured Ruminococcus sp.
Lineage: Bacteria; Bacillati; Bacillota; Clostridia; Eubacteriales; Oscillospiraceae
Description: bacterial SSU rRNA
Rfam family: Bacterial small subunit ribosomal RNA
Source: RNAcentral